Molecule: long non-coding RNA, 5383 nt
Filed under: Brassica napus (rape)
Lineage: Eukaryota; Viridiplantae; Streptophyta; Magnoliopsida; Brassicales; Brassicaceae
Description: long non-coding RNA (BNAP_LNC003944)
Source: RNAcentral
GGUUGGCAAGAGCACUUUCUCUGCUCAGCUCUCCUUUGCCCUUGCUGGAAUGGACCAUCAAGUAGGCCUUAUGGACAUAGAUAUCUGCGGUCCAAGCAUGCCGAAAAUGCUAGGCCUUGAAGGGCACGAGAUUCACCAGAGCAACCUCGGAUGGUCCCCUGUCUAUGUGGAAGAGAACCUUGGUGUCAUGUCCAUUGGUUUCAUGCUCCCAAACUCCGACGAAGCUGUGGUCUGGAGAGGUCCCCGCAAGAACGCUCUCAUUAAACAGUUCUUGAAAGACGUCUACUGGAGAGACAUCGAUUACCUCGUGGUUGAUGCCCCACCGGGAACUUCGGACGAGCACAUCUCCAUCGUCCAGUACCUUCAAGCCACUGGGAUCGACGGUGCGAUCAUCGUCACGACCCCACAGGAAGUCUCCUUGAUCGAUGUCAGGAAAGAGGUGAGCUUUUGCAAGAAAGUGGGGGUCCCUGUGCUGGGAGUGGUGGAGAACAUGAGUGGUUUGUCUCAGCCGUUGGCGGAUGUCAAGUUCAUGGAGAUUGGUUCUUCCGUUGACGUGACGCAAAAGGUAAUCUCUUGCUUGAGAGAGAACGCACCAGAGCUUCUCAACGUCUUGGCUUGCAGCGAGGUGUUUGACAGCAGUGGAGGAGGUGCAGAGAGGAUGUGCAGGGAAAUGGGAGUGCCGUUUCUUGGGAAGGUGCCUUUGGAUCCACAGCUUUGCAAAGCAGCGGAACAAGGUAAGUCGUGCUUUGAGGGUAACAACAAGUGUUCUGUUAGCGCACCUGCGCUGAAGAGCAUCAUACAGAAGGUUCUUGCUUCGAUGACCGAGUGAAGUUUAAGACUCCCACUAAACAGAUCCUUUGGUUGGAUCUGUAGAUAGACAAUGGACUUUGCUAUGAAGGUGUUGUGUAGGCUUUGGUUGUAGGCUUCACAUGUGUAAUAAGAUUUUUAUUAUGAGAGUGGACCAUUAAAUCUUGUCGACUAUAAUAUUUACUCUCGUUGAAUUUCAUUAGAGUAUUUGGCUAUCGAGGGGUUGUUUUGAUAAAUGCAUAAAUUUAAGGCGAAAACUGAAACUAGUCCAAACUUAUAGUUUUGAUAGUCCAUUGCCAAGACCCUGUCUACUGGAUUCCAGCGUUGAUAGUCCAUCGCCAAGACCUACUAAAAAAGUAAUAAUUUUGUUUCGCCUUUACUCUGUUGCUCGUUAUAGUUUUGUGUAUCUUCAUGCAUUCACAGUCUUUCAUAUUCAUCUCACAGGCAUUACUCUAUACUUGGCAAGGGUAUUCUUGGCACAGCGAGAUUGCUAGAUAUUAGGACGCAAGCGGAAGCAUGGUCUUUUAUUUGAUCUAGUUUACAUUGUGAUAGGAUUGCUAGAAACAAGCGAUACAACUGAUUUAGUUUAACCUCGUGAACAAAUCAAACCCGUGCGGUAAAGCUUGCUAGAAAGAACGUCGAUCGACAAUUCAAUAGUUGCAUCGACGGGUUGAAAGUUGUAUCGAUCGACAAUCCAUAAUUGGUAUCGAUCGACACUUUCUCAAGACCAAUAAGCGACAGGUGAAGUCUUAGAUCUGAUGACAAUAGAUAGUCUAAAAAUACGGAAGUCGAUCGACUAGUCUUUAGUUUGAGUUUUAGAAUAUCCAACAUCCACUUAGUCUCUAUAUCUCUACAAUUUUAAUUGUCUGAAUAGAAACCGUAAGUCUAAUGCCUUUCAUAUUUGUCUUAAAACCUCAAUAAAUCAACCAAACAAUUACUUUGCUCAUCUCUGCUAUUUAAUUUAAACAUGUUUGCCUAGUUUAACCACAUAACUACUAGAUCUUUUGUGUGAUUUAGCUCCCUGUGAAUUCGAUCUCUAAGUGCUACAACUCAACAUUUUAUUCGAGAGAGUACAAAUCACUUUUUUGGAUAAUUUAAGUGAUAUCAAGAAUUUUUGUUAGCUACUCUAGAACAAAAGCAAUAAAUACAAUUCAAUUGAUUCAUAUCAAGACAACUCAGCAAUUUUAUAGGUGACUAAUCCCUCAUGACUAUCUGAACCCUAAAUCUAACAUGAUGAAUUUAUUCAAGCAUGAUAGUUAUCAUAGAAAAUCAUAGAUGAAUAAAUGCAAUAGAAUAAAUAUAAAAGCCAAAGGAGUUUCAAGAGGACUGUGGAGGAGUUUCUUUGUUCUCUCCUAACUUAGAACUAUGAAUAAAAGAAAGCGUAGUCGUCAACAUGGCUUAGUAAAUACAUAAAUAGGGUUUUAGGUUGUCCAUGGGUAUUCUGGUAAUUUGUGGUUACUUCUAGACCUAAGUAGGUCUUGAAAUAUACUCGGUCUGUGUUUUGGAAUCACCGUCGAUCGAACCAAGGCUGUGCCGUCGAUCGACAUUCCUUCAACUCAAGACCACUAUUCAGUAAAACGGAUAUAACUUCUGAUCUAACCGUUGGAUUAACAAGUAGAUUAACUAAAAUCAUCGAAAAAAUGACAAGUAAGUAAAAUCGUAGACUGUGAUUAGUUAUUUUUUAAUUUACUAUAAAGUAUAUUUCUAUAAUAUACAAAAAUAAAUAACUUUAUAAAUUAAUAAAAUAUUAUAAAUUGUUGACAAAAAAAAUAUUAUAAAAUUUAAUCAUUUAUCCUUCUUUUUUUGCUAGUUUUUUUUUCUUUCUAAUGGGCUUUUACGUAUAAGUAUAUUUCGAAUUCAAUUGUAUGUUGUUGACCCAUAUCUAGGCUUAAUUAUUUAAGGUGACCUAUUCUCCCUCUUCUGAUCAGAUUUUGUUUUCUUCUUGUACUCUGCGAUGGUUUCUGACAAUCUUAUCGACAAAUCUAAUAUUUUCGGACAUCUUACCGAAAAAUCUGACAACAGGGUUUGAAAUCUUCAUCAAUUAAUUCUACUCUUUUCUUUUUCAGUUUGUUGUCAUUUGAUUGUGUGUGUCUGUCUAGUUUUUGGAUCGGGAAUAUGUUAUGUGAAAUGUAUUCCCAAACAGAUAACAAAGCAAAUACAAAGCUGGAUAAUGAUUAUAUUGAUGAUAAACUGUUUACAAGUACUCAAAGAACCUUGAGAGAAUUAUUAAUGGAGUCCCUCACUUCCCCCUUUCACUCUUUUGUUCUAAUCUCUAAAUAACUCUCACUUUCUUCUCUCUCCUCUCUCCUCUCUCCUCUCUCCUCUCUCCUCUCUCCCUGCUUAUAUAGAAAAGUCCCUCUCCUGUCACACACUCUGCGUGAAGCUCUCCUCAGCACAUGCCUCUCACGUGGUGUGUUUAUUCAGCAUAAAAGAAUAUUCACAUAUGGAUAAGAUCCACCUCAUCCUUCUAGAAGCUCAUUGCUAUUUCACUUAAUCAAAUGUGUACUGUUGUAUCAGUACAUGUAACAGAAUGCUGAUUUUUUUGGUUUUGCUUCUCAGGUCUGCUUUGAUUGUGGUGCAAAUAAUCCGACGUGGGCUUCGAUAACAUACGGGAUAUUUCUCUGUGUCAAUUGUUCAUCUGCUCAUCGAAAUCUCGUUGUUCUUCCCAGUUUCGUGAGGUAAAUUUUGGGAUUUUUGGAGGAACACAAUCUUAAUCCAUUUUUUAGCAUCUGGUUUGUUUACAGGUAGAGUUUGAUAGGUUUAGAUCUGAAAGUGUAGGAUUACAUGUCCUCUUAGUUUUUUUUAAAAAUUUAAAAAGAAAACUAAGAGGACAUGUAAUCCUACACUUACAUGUCCUCUUAGUUAUAUCGUGGUUGCAGUAGAACAUGUUCAAAUAUGAGCAUGGUUUCGUGGUGUUUGCCAAAAAGAUUCUCAAGAUGCUGCCUUUUCGAUUUUGUAUAGGUCAACAACUACAGACUCAUGGAGUGGUGAGCAGCUCAAGUCGAUGAUGCUUGGUGGCAACAACCGCGCUCAGGGGUUCUUCAAGAAAUAUGAAUAUUGGACCAACGCUGGUAAUAAUAUGAAGGCUAAGUACACUUCACCAGCUGCGUAUUUGUAUAAGCAGAUUCUUGCUAGAGAAGUUGCUGAAGACAUGAGAAAAGAAACUACGACUGGUCCAGCAACUAAUAACAGCGGAAUUGAAGCAUCAGCUGGUUCAUCUAUUGACCGUCAUUCUAAGGACAAUGACGACUUGAAAUCUGAAAUAGAAGGAAGAAGAAGCUCGAAAACGAAGGAGAAGCCCGAAACUUUGGGCUCCGCUAUCAUUGGCGGUCUAAAAGGGUAAGAAGGAACUGUAAAUUUUUGUUGUCAUAUGAUGCUACUACUUAUCUUUGUUUGUUUGAAUAGAAAAGUAAAAGUGAGUUUAAAUGUGAUAAGAUAUUUGACUGUUCCUACUGUUUGCAAUGGACAGGUUUUUUCGGCAUCCUCAUGAUGUUUCUGCCCUUCGGCAUCGUCAUCGACAGAUUUGAUGCAGAAACUUCGUGGCAAAGAUGCCGAAGCCAUCCCUUGGGCCACCCGAAAGGAAUGGGUCGACAAUAUCCGUGGCCGAGUAAGUUCCACCACACUCGAAUGAUCGAAUCUCUCCCGGGUUUAGGAGCUUUCUAGUUUUUCUGAUAAACAUCAUUUUGGUUGUUUUUUCUAACAGGUCUUAGCAGCUAUAUAUCGGGUUGAUGCGCAAGGGAAUCGUAAAGAUCAAGUUGCAAAGCUGCGGAAUGAUACGAGGGACAUGUUGGAAGUCUUAGUAAAUAAGAAGGUUAAAAGGAUCAAGAUUGAUUAAGAACUAGGAGUAUACUAUUGAGAAUAAUACUCUUACCGUAUAUUACAAAACAGUGUUCAUCUUCUGUUGAAAACAAGGCGUUACGUACUCUUAAGGGCAAUUCUCUCGGAUAAACUUUUUAAGUUUUUUUUUAAGUUUUUGUCACAAAAAUAGAUUCAAAUUCAAUGACCAAAAUAGCAUUUUUUAUUUUGAAAAUUUUAAUUUUAUUUUAUUUUUAAAAUUUGAAAUUCUAUCUCCUACUCCUCAAACCUAAAACUUUAAACCCUAAAUCCCACUUCUUAAAUCUAAACCCUAAUGUUUUGAAUCUAAGACUCACUUGUUUACUAGUUGAGUUUUUUUUAUCAGCGCUGACACUUUGUGUUUCCUUCAGAUAUGGUUGCCAUAGCAGAGAGGAUGAGCACUGUUAAGCACAAGAUUCUUGUUUUGUCUGGUAAAGGUGGGGUUGGCAAGAGCACAUUCUCAGCUCAGCUCUCCUUUGCCCUUGCUGGAAUGGACCAUCAAGUAGGCCUUAUGGACAUUGAUAUCUGCGGCCCAAGCAUGCCGAAAAUAUUAGGCCUUGAAGGGCACGAGAUUCACCAGAGCAACCUCGGAUGGUCCCCUGUCUAUGUGGAAGAGAACCUUGGUGUCAUGUCCAUUGGUUUCAUGCUCCCAAACUCUGACGAAGCUGUGGUCUGGAGAGGUCCCCGCAAGAACGCUCUCAUCAAACAGUUCUUGAAAGACGUCUACUGGAGAGACAUUGAU